UGGGGAAUAUUGGACAAUGGGCGAAAGCCUGAUCCAGCCAUGCCGCGUGUGUGAAGAAGGUCUUCGGAUUGUAAAGCACUUUAAGUUGGGAGGAAGGGCAGUAAGCGAAUACCUUGCUGUUUUGACGUUACCGACAGAAUAAGCACCGGCUAACUCUGUGCCAGCAGCCGCGGUAAUACAGAGGGUGCAAGCGUUAAUCGGAAUUACUGGGCGUAAAGCGCGCGUAGGUGGUUCGUUAAGUUGAAUGUGAAAGCCCCGGGCUCAACCUGGGAACUGCAUCCAAAACUGGCGAGCUAGAGUAGGGCAGAGGGUGGUGGAAUUUCCUGUGUAGCGGUGAAAUGCGUAGAUAUAGGAAGGAGCACCAGUGGCGGAGGCGACCACCUGGGCUCAUACUGACACUGAGGUGCGAAAGCGUGGGGAGCAAACAGG
RNAcentral lists this ribosomal RNA (429 nucleotides) under Pseudomonadota bacterium. RNAcentral's name for it is "Proteobacteria bacterium partial 16S ribosomal RNA". It matches the Rfam family "Bacterial small subunit ribosomal RNA", at positions 355 to 776 of the family's 1533-position model. The record is from RNAcentral. Lineage: Bacteria; Pseudomonadati; Pseudomonadota.